Tricladium varicosporioides is the source of this 90-nucleotide non-coding RNA. The record is from the annotation of a GenBank genome assembly. Lineage: Eukaryota; Fungi; Ascomycota; Leotiomycetes; Helotiales; Tricladiaceae.
UCCGCGCUGGUGUACCGGUAACAUUUCCGCCUCUCAGCAUCAAAAGAUGGAAGUGCGCGGGAGCACGGGGUUCGACUCCCCGGCGCGGAA